RNA transcript from Brassica oleracea var. oleracea, 1265 nucleotides. It is a transcript of the gene named TSL-kinase interacting protein 1-like, with no coding region annotated. The transcript is spliced from 3 exons. NCBI's taxonomy places the organism in Eukaryota, Viridiplantae, Streptophyta, Magnoliopsida, Brassicales, Brassicaceae. The record is from RefSeq and is a predicted model, not a curated record.
AAAAAAAUUAUUCCCGUCUCUCUAUCUCUGGUUCAACCGGUAGACGUUCGUCGGAAAAAUACCGCCGGCUUCAAAUUCGCUAGAUUAGCCCUAAAUUCUCGACGACCGUUCGUCAAUCACAGCCUCUCUCAGACAGAUAUCACGUUAUAGUGGCAAUGCAAGCAGAGAAGGAGGUGUUGUUGAACGCUCAAGGUUCUACUUCUAUCAGUGUUGUUCAGUUCCCUGGUAUGUUUAUUUAGAAGCUUUGUUUUUGUCUGAGUCGAUUUUCUUAUUUGGAAACUGCCCUGUUUUGUGGUUGUGUUUAUGGAGCCAAGAAGCCAAAAAGGCAAUGGGUGAGUUACAUUCUCUUUGUGUUGAACUUUGUAGAAUUUUGCCUAGAUUACUUCUCGUGUCCUAAGCAAAAACAAGGACCAGGUUGGUUAAUACAACUUUGGGGUUUUGUUUCCUUUGCACUAGUGUUUGCUUUCAGAAGAUUACUUCUUGUGAUUUGCAGGUUAGGCAUUACUAUUAUCGUCUAGUCAGGCGUAUGAACAAGCUUUUGGGUCCUGGACUGAGUCUUGAUGCCAAGAACCCAAAGGACACUAAUGCUGCAAUGGUAUGGUUGGUUCGUCCAGGAUGCAUCAGGCUCUUUAACUUCUCGUGUCCCAACUUCAGUUUCUUUUCCUUCACUCGAGGAUAACAUGAAUGUGGAUGAGGUGAACAUGGUCCGUACUGAAUCAGGACCCUUAUCUAAGCAUUCUACUGGAGACAGUAAUGAACCUCGUUUAGCGACUAAUGCAGUAUCAGUUGGAGAAUGGGUGUGUGGAUCCACCCGCCACUGAGGGUUCGCAUUGCCUUAUUCGAGAUGUCUCGUUUGACUCUGACUCUUUUGAUGCUGCAAUUCCUGCUCAUAUACUAAGACACCAGAACAAGCCGCCAAGUGCUCUGCUACAGGUUCCCUCUGGCUCUUCAUCUAUUUGGGAUGAUGAAGAUACACGCGAUGCCUUCUCCUUUCAAAAGAAUCGUCUUGCAGGUUCCUCCAAGUUGGCUAAUGUUGCUUAUCCAGGAGGUGGACUAAUUAUCAAUGAUUUGAAAUAUAGAGGGUUUAUUUGUUGUGGUGAUAGUUUAGGGAAGGAGAAUUAUAGAGGGUUAGACAUGGAUUUUUAUAUUAAGGUUAGACAUAAUAAAAGAAAAACCUAGAAGAAAUGCGGGUUUUUGCAGUCUGAACUUUUUAGAUUACACAUCCUACUUUUGCUUACGUGUCGAUCAUACGUGAAUUCUUACAA